AAUGAACGCUGGCGGCGUGCUUAACACAUGCAAGUCGAACGAGAAAGCAUCUUCGGAUGUGAGUAGAGUGGCGCACGGGUGAGUAACACGUGGGUAACCUGCCCCUUGAUGGAGGAUAACCAGGAGAAAUCCUGGCUAAUACUGCAUAAGUUGGUAACAAGAAAGGAUGCUUCGGCAUUCGUCGAGGGAUGGGCCCGCGGAACAUUAGCUUGAUGGUGGGGUAAUGGCCUACCAUGGCUACGAUGUUUAACUGGUCUGAGAGGAUGAUCAGUCACACUGGAACUGAGACACGGUCCAG
This 298-nucleotide ribosomal RNA is filed under the name uncultured Bacteriovorax sp. RNAcentral's name for it is "partial 16S ribosomal RNA". It matches the Rfam family "Bacterial small subunit ribosomal RNA", at positions 29 to 334 of the family's 1533-position model. The record is from RNAcentral. Lineage: Bacteria; Pseudomonadati; Bdellovibrionota; Bacteriovoracia; Bacteriovoracales; Bacteriovoracaceae.